GGAGAGGUGUCCGAGUGGUUGAAGGAGCACGCCUGGAAAGUGUGUAUACGGUCAAAAGCCGUAUCGUGGGUUCGAAUCCCACCCUCUCCGCCA
RNAcentral lists this transfer RNA (93 nucleotides) under Pseudomonadota bacterium. Its description in RNAcentral is "tRNA-Ser". It matches the Rfam family "tRNA". From Rfam's summary of the family: Transfer RNA (tRNA) molecules are approximately 80 nucleotides in length. Their secondary structure includes four short double-helical elements and three loops (D, anti-codon, and T loops). Lineage: Bacteria; Pseudomonadati; Pseudomonadota. RNAcentral also lists the same sequence under 2 other names. The record is from RNAcentral.